Molecule: long non-coding RNA, 728 nt
Organism: Mytilus californianus (California mussel)
Lineage: Eukaryota; Metazoa; Mollusca; Bivalvia; Mytilida; Mytilidae
Exons: 2
Source: RefSeq, a predicted model, not a curated record
GGGAGCUUAAAGCAAUUUUUCCAGAAUAUAAGUAAGUUUCACUGACAAGUGUGUCAUAAUUAAUUCAACAUUUGACAAAGAAGAAAUAUGCAGACCAAAGUUAUGUUGAUUGUUCUGAUCCUAGCGGUGGUGCUAAUAACAUCUAACGCUCAACAGACCUGCAGAGGGCGCUGCGAUAAUAAAACAUCAGUAUGUCAAAGAGAGUGUAAAAUUAAAAAUAACAGCAUUAAAAAGCAACAGAAGUGCGUUGAUAAAUGUUGGAAAGAUAAUAGUAAAUGCAAGAAGAAAUGCAGGAAAGGACGAGAUCUUGAUCUACUAGACUCCCUGGAAGAUGAAGAAGAUUUAUAUGAUUUGAUGUUCUAUUAGUCACAGACGGAAAAACCGGUAGUAACACACGGAAAUAUAAGUUUAACAGACAUUUCAUUAAAGAUUCCUAUGUUCUCUCAAUUUUUUUUUUAAAUGAUAUUUAAUCGUGUCAGAAAUUAACAGACCAGCGGAAUCAUGUAAUAUUUCAUAUCAUUUGAAUGUUUGAUGUUUACUGUUUUUACUGACAUUUUUUAAAAGUAAAUGUUCGGGGAUCAUGUCCUCAUGUAUCCUGUAUUUUCAUGCUGUCCAUCAUCAGAAUCCCAUUUUUCGUAAUAUUAAAAAAUUAUAUGCAUUACCUUGACUUUAAAGAAAACGUCUUUAUUUGUUUAAAAAUGAAUACAUAUAAAAAUAUAGAUACGUGU